GCGCCCGUAGCUCAAUAGGUAGAGCCACCGGCUCAUAACCGGGAGGUUCCGGGUUCGAGUCCUGGCGGGCGCACCA
Molecule: transfer RNA, 76 nt
Filed under: bacterium HR11
Lineage: Bacteria
Description: tRNA-Met
Rfam family: tRNA
About the family: Transfer RNA (tRNA) molecules are approximately 80 nucleotides in length. Their secondary structure includes four short double-helical elements and three loops (D, anti-codon, and T loops).
Source: RNAcentral